RNAcentral lists this ribosomal RNA (120 nucleotides) under Exserohilum turcica Et28A. The record is from RNAcentral. Lineage: Eukaryota; Fungi; Ascomycota; Dothideomycetes; Pleosporales; Pleosporaceae.
ACAUACGACCAUUGGAAGCUGAUCGCACAGAAUCCCGUCAGAUUUUCGCUAGUUAAGCAGUUUUCCGGCUGGUUAGUAGGCAGGUGGGUGACCACUGGCGAAUCCCCGCUGUUGUAUGUU